This 1937-nucleotide ribosomal RNA is filed under the name Corynebacterium aurimucosum. Its description in RNAcentral is "bacterial LSU rRNA". It matches the Rfam family "Bacterial large subunit ribosomal RNA", at positions 3 to 1978 of the family's 2925-position model. Lineage: Bacteria; Bacillati; Actinomycetota; Actinomycetes; Mycobacteriales; Corynebacteriaceae. The record is from RNAcentral.
UCAAGUGAAGAAGCGCAUACGGUGGAUGCCUUGGCAGUCAGAGGCGAUGAAAGACGUGGUAGCCUGCGAAAAGCUUCGGGGAGUCGGCAAACAGACUUUGAUCCGGAGAUCUCUGAAUGGGGGAACCCACCUAGGAUAACCUAGGUAUCUUGUACUGAAUCCAUAGGUGCAAGAGGCGAACCAGGGGAACUGAAACAUCUAAGUACCCUGAGGAAAAGAAAUCAACCGAGAUUCCCUUAGUAGUGGCGAGCGAACGGGGAUUAGCCCUUAAGCUUCAUUGAUUUUAGCGGAACGCUCUGGAAAGUGCGGCCAUAGUGGGUGAUAGCCCCGUACGCGAAAGGAUCUUUGAAGUGAAAUCGAGUAGGACGGAGCACGAGAAACUUUGUCUGAACAUGGGGGGACCAUCCUCCAAGGCUAAAUACUACUGACUGACCGAUAGUGAACCAGUACCGUGAGGGAAAGGCGAAAAGAACCCCGGAGAGGGGAGUGAAAUAGAACCUGAAACCGUAUGCGUACAAGCAGUGGGAGCCUACUUGUUAGGUGACUGCGUACCUUUUGUAUAAUGGGUCAGCGACUUAUAUUCAGUGGCAAGCUUAACCGUAUAGGGUAGGCGUAGCGAAAGCGAGUCUUAAUAGGGCGUUUAGUCGCUGGGUAUAGACCCGAAACCGGGCGAUCUAUCCAUGAGCAGGUUGAAGGUUAGGUAACACUGACUGGAGGACCGAACCCACUCCCGUUGAAAAGGUAGGGGAUGACUUGUGGAUCGGAGUGAAAGGCUAAUCAAGCUCGGAGAUAGCUGGUUCUCCUCGAAAGCUAUUUAGGUAGCGCCUCAUGUAUCACUCUGGGGGGUAGAGCACUGUUUCGGCUAGGGGGUCAUCCCGACUUACCAAACCGAUGCAAACUCCGAAUACCCAGAAGUGCCGAGCAUGGGAGACACACGGCGGGUGCUAACGUCCGUCGUGAAAAGGGAAACAACCCAGACCGCCAGCUAAGGUCCCAAAGUUGUGGUUAAGUGGUAAACGAUGUGGGAAGGCUUAGACAGCUAGGAGGUUGGCUUAGAAGCAGCCAUCCUUUAAAGAAAGCGUAAUAGCUCACUAGUCGAGUCGGCCUGCGCGGAAGAUGUAACGGGGCUCAAACCACACACCGAAGCUGCGGGUGUCACGUAAGUGACGCGGUAGAGGAGCGUUCUGUAAGCCUGUGAAGGUGAGUUGAGAAGCUUGCUGGAGGUAUCAGAAGUGCGAAUGCUGACAUGAGUAACGACAAUGGGUGUGAAAAACACCCACGCCGAAAGACCAAGGGUUCCUGCGCAACGUUAAUCGACGCAGGGUUAGUCGGUUCCUAAGGCGAGGCUGAAAAGCGUAGUCGAUGGGAAACAGGUUAAUAUUCCUGUACUUCUGGUUACUGCGAUGGAGGGACGGAGAAGGCUAGGCCAGCUUGGCGUUGGUUGUCCAAGUUUAAGGUGGUAGGCUGAAAUCUUAGGUAAAUCCGGGGUUUCAAGGCCGAGAGCUGAUGACGAGUCGUCUUUUAGAUGACGAAGUGGUUGAUGCCAUGCUUCCAAGAAAAGCUUCUAAGCUUCAGGUAACCAGGAACCGUACCCCAAACCGACACAGGUGGUCGGGUAGAGAAUACCAAGGCGCUUGAGAGAACUCGGGUGAAGGAACUAGGCAAAAUGGCACCGUAACUUCGGGAGAAGGUGCGCCGGCUAGGGUGAAGGAUUUACUCCGUAAGCUCUGGCUGGUCGAAGAUACCAGGCCGCUGCGACUGUUUAUUAAAAACACAGCACUCUGCAAACACGAAAGUGGACGUAUAGGGUGUGACGCCUGCCCGGUGCCGGAAGGUUAAUUGAUGGGGUUAGCGCAAGCGAAGCUCUUGAUCGAAGCCCCGGUAAACGGCGGCCGUAACUAUAACGGUCCUAAGGUAGCGAAAUUCCUUGUCGGGUA